UUAACUCAAAUUUGUAUGGAGUCGGGACGUCUGCCUACGUUUGCCGCUAGGGGCGCUGUUCCAACUCCAUACAAAUAUGAGUUA
Bombyx mori (domestic silkworm) is the source of this 84-nucleotide non-coding RNA. The record is from Rfam. Lineage: Eukaryota; Metazoa; Arthropoda; Insecta; Lepidoptera; Bombycidae.